UGAUGCUGCUUGGCCUGCUGUGGUCAUCCAGCUCUACACCUUGUUAUCUCUGUUCAGUGAUGGCUGCUUGAAUAAAUUCAUGGAAGUUUUGCUUCCAUUCCCUUCAAAGUGUGAAAAUCUGCCUAAUCUCAAUCUUAAAUUUGCCUUCUGUUUUAGCUACACUUUCCUCAAGAACAGCUUCCUCCCUGCUGUUAUCAGACUUUUGAACAGACCUCUCAAAUGUUAAUGUUGAUCUCUCUCUCUCUCUGUGCACCUUCUCUACAGCUGUAACACUGUUCUGCUACCCUUACGCACUCUGUACAGUACGAUUUGCCCAUAUAGCAUGCAAAACAACACUUCUCACUGUAUCUUGGUACAUGUGACAAUAAUAAAUCAAAUCAGAUUAAGGUAGCAGUGGAGUAGGGCUCUUGCACUCUGACUGAUUUUUCUUCUCUCACUUUUUCUUCCCUUUUCAUUUUUAACCUUGCCCUGAGUUUGGACAGCAUUGGCAGUGAUGAGAGCCCUGCGAGCACACCUUGAGCUGACCCAGGGCAUGGACGUCAAGUGGGACCAAUGCGGAGGAGAGUGAGCCCCUCUGGAGCAAGCACAGGACCUAGAAUCGGCAGCUGCUACACUGGCAGAGGAAACGUUGGCGAGCUACUCCCCGAGUGUGUCCACAAACAGCAAUACGUCUGCUCUUGCGAUUGUAACUUUGGAGAGCCCCAGCCAUCUACAAUUACUGCGCCGAAAUAUAUCGAACUGGACGGAGACAGGAACCUGCUGAUCUUUACAUUCAGGAUCAAGGAGAAGACGUAUGGCAGUAAGAACCUGAAGCGAAUCGGAGUGAUUCUCCAACGAGGGAUCCUCAUUCUCCUGAUCACCUGCUUUCCCUGCUGGGAUGUUUUCAUAAACAUUGAGCACAUUUUAUUGGCUUUCAAACAGUCUCCUGAUGUAGCCAAGUGAGAGUCUUGCUUUUCGUUUUUUAGUUCAAAAGAAUGUGUUUGAUGAUAGUGCUUGCGUGAAAGGAUGAAGACCAUCCAGUGACAGAAUGGGUUAGUGAAUGGGUUAGUAAGAGGGUUGGGCCAAAGUAUGUUUGAGCAGAGGUUCCAACUUGCCGAGCUAUGUUUCGUAAGGGUUCAAUCUCAGCUGGAUCAGUGACAAGCGAAGACCAGAUUGACUCUUCAAUAAAGAGUGAACUAAUGAAAUGGUGAAUCAAGCAUCUUGCAGUGGAAAUUACCUGGUGUCUACCUUAUGAUCAGCAACUCUGGUUUUUCAAUUCUAUCCACUGAAGUGUUCUCCAGCGUUCCUAGAACAAACCUGGCUUCCUGCUUGUUAGAUAAAUGAAUGAAACUACUUUCUCAACCUGAAGGGAUCAAACUUCAGCCUGAGGUCCUCAUCCGCAUCACCAUGUGCUGAAGGCAGCUUCUUUCCUGGUUCAAGGUGUCCAGUCGCUUCCCACAAUCUGGAUGAUGUAUCCAGAGCUUCAAAGGAAAAUAAUUAAGGUUUAUCACAAUUUAGCCUCCUCACCUUUAUCCUGCUGGUGGAACAAAACAUUCACAGGGCGAGUGAUGGAGAAACAGGAGGCUGGAAAAACCCAGCAAGACAGGCAGCAUGUGGAUGAGGAGAAGUCAACUUUUCAGAUUGUUCAGACUCCUGCGUAAUCCAAAUGAAAGGCUGCAAGCUAAGGAGUACUGCCAUAAAUGGUAAAGGGUGUGGUGGAGUGUUGUUUUAUGGACUGGAGGCCUGUAACCAGCGGUGUGCCGCAAGAAU
This is a long non-coding RNA of Rhincodon typus (whale shark), 1749 nucleotides long. RefSeq lists it as uncharacterized. The transcript has 5 exons. Lineage: Eukaryota; Metazoa; Chordata; Chondrichthyes; Orectolobiformes; Rhincodontidae. The record is from RefSeq and is a predicted model, not a curated record.